AUGCUUGAGUCCUUGAUAGUUUACAAUUUACAGUUCUUACUAUGUCGUGACUCUGUGGUGGGAUCACAAACUGAACUGAGUGGGUUCUCCUGGCUCCUGCACCUGGGUGGACCCAGCUGUUGCAGCUGCCUGUGGACAGGCCAGGGGUGGGAGUGGGGGAGGGCAGUUGGUAGGCACUUCAGGUGGAUGAUUUGGUUCAUGACUUGUGCUUUUUCUUGUUUUGCCUGCAGAUGGCAGCACGCCCUGGACUUGUCUGCACCGCAAGCGGCCCUGAGGAGGGACAGCAGGGAGACAAGAAAAUGGACUCCCCUCUGCAACCUGCAAUGUACCAGGGUUUGCAGCCUAUUGGAGGAAAACAACAUCAAGGGCUGCUGAGGAAACCUGUACCCUGCUAACAAGAGGACUUUUGGAUCUGUGCAAAUAAUGUGAAAUAAGACCAAACGGUCCCAGAAAAUGACAGCCUGGGCAUGACCCAACCCCACCAACCAGCGGGCAUCACUCCCGGAGGAAAAGACUCCACCUUGAACCAGGCCCAAGGCUUUUCCUGGGACUUCAUUUCUGUCUUUGGCAGUCCCUGUUCCAAGCUUCCAGAGAUCUGAGUAAGUGCUUAGCUUGCACACAGCCCACUGACAGAUGUUGAAAACUGAUAUAUCAAGAAGGGAUGGUUUGCAUUUGUCUUCCCUGAUUAGCAUAUUAGCCUCUCUCUUCCUAUUGCCAAGUGAACUAAAUGAAUAAACCAGCCCAAUUAAAGUGACCCCUUCGGAGU
Molecule: long non-coding RNA, 766 nt
Filed under: Felis catus (domestic cat)
Lineage: Eukaryota; Metazoa; Chordata; Mammalia; Carnivora; Felidae
Description: lncRNA (ENSFCAG00000053593.1)
Source: RNAcentral